RNAcentral lists this ribosomal RNA (253 nucleotides) under uncultured bacterium. Its description in RNAcentral is "partial 16S ribosomal RNA". It matches the Rfam family "Bacterial small subunit ribosomal RNA", at positions 524 to 776 of the family's 1533-position model. The record is from RNAcentral.
UACGGGGGGAGCAAGCGUUGUUCGGAUUUACUGGGCGUAAAGGGCGCGUAGGCGGCGCAACAAGUCACUUGUGAAAUCUCCGGGCUUAACUCGGAAAGGUCAAGUGAUACUGUUGUGCUAGAGUGCGGAAGGGGCAACUGGAAUUCUCGGUGUAGCGGUGAAAUGCGUAGAUAUCGAGAGGAACACCAGAGGUGAAGACGGGUUGCUGGGCUGACACUGACGCUGAGGCGCGAAAGCCAGGGGAGCAAACGGG